UACGUAGGGGGCGAGCGUUGUCCGGAUUCAUUGGGCGUAAAGAGCUCGUAGGCGGCUUGGUAAGUCGGGUGUGAAACCUCCAGGCUCAACCUGGAGACGCCACUCGAUACUGCCAUGGCUAGAGUCCGGUAGGGGCCCACGGAAUUCCUGGUGUAGCGGUGAAAUGCGCAGAUAUCAGGAGGAACACCGGCGGCGAAGGCGGCUCUCUGGACCGAUGCUGACGCUGAGACGCGAAAGCGUGGGGAGCAAACAGG
This 254-nucleotide ribosomal RNA is filed under the name uncultured bacterium. RNAcentral's name for it is "partial 16S ribosomal RNA". It matches the Rfam family "Bacterial small subunit ribosomal RNA", at positions 524 to 776 of the family's 1533-position model. The record is from RNAcentral.